This 430-nucleotide ribosomal RNA is filed under the name Pseudomonadota bacterium. RNAcentral's name for it is "Proteobacteria bacterium partial 16S ribosomal RNA". It matches the Rfam family "Bacterial small subunit ribosomal RNA", at positions 355 to 776 of the family's 1533-position model. Lineage: Bacteria; Pseudomonadati; Pseudomonadota. The record is from RNAcentral.
UGGGGAAUAUUGGACAAUGGGGGGAACCCUGAUCCAGCCAUGCCGCGUGUGUGAAGAAGGCCUUAUGGUUGUAAAGCACUUUAAGCGAGGAGGAGGGUACUGGUAUUAAUACUACCAGCUACUGGACGUUACUCGCAGAAUAAGCACCGGCUAACUCUGUGCCAGCAGCCGCGGUAAUACAGAGGGUGCGAGCGUUAAUCGGAUUUACUGGGCGUAAAGCGUGCGUAGGCGGCUAAUUGAGUCGGAUGUGAAAUCCCCGAGCUUAACUUGGGAAUUGCAUUCGAUACUGGUUAGCUAGAGUGUGGGAGAGGAUGGUAGAAUUCCCGGUGUAGCGGUGAAAUGCGUAGAGAUCUGGAGGAAUACCGAUGGCGAAGGCAGCCAUCUGGCCUAACACUGACGCUGAGGUACGAAAGCAUGGGGAGCAAACAGG